UAGGGAAUCUUCCACAAUGGACGCAAGUCUGAUGGAGCAACGCCGCGUGAGUGAAGAAGGUCUUCGGAUCGUAAAACUCUGUUGUUAGAGAAGAACACGAGUGAGAGUAACUGUUCAUACGUUGACGGUAUUUAACCAGAAAGUCACGGCUAACUACGUGUCAG
This 164-nucleotide ribosomal RNA is filed under the name uncultured bacterium. Its description in RNAcentral is "partial 16S rRNA". It matches the Rfam family "Bacterial small subunit ribosomal RNA", at positions 355 to 511 of the family's 1533-position model. The record is from RNAcentral.